AUUUGAAUAACGCGCCACAGGAUUCCACUGGCUGUUACGUAGGUGGGAUGAUUUCGUCCCGCCGACCCUAGAGAGGUUAAUAGAGCAUCUGACCAAUUACGAAAAACUUUAGUUAUGGGUUAACCUGAGGUUACCUAAACCCAAACCAAGACCCCUCGACAGUUUCCUUAUGUCCUUUGGAUGAUAUAGCUAGUCUGCACGUCACUGCACCAAAGUUAUCUGGUCAAUUAAAAAGUUAAAACCUCUUUCUGAGUUUUCAUUAUUAAGCCUUUUAUCUGAAAAAUGAAAAAUAAGGUGACAAAGAAGUGCUUGUCAAGGGUUCUUCUGGCGGCCUUGGGCUUUUAGAUGAUGGGCAACACACACCAGCCCCAUCACCCUUUCAACCUCAGCCUGCCAAAAACUGUAGGCUCAUUGAUAGCUCUGUAGUCAGCCAUCUCUCAUGGAAGAGGUGGACACAACUCACACACUCUGAGUUUCACAUUCACACAUGCAUGUAAGUGUACAUUGACAUUAGCAGUAUAUUCUUUCUCUCUCUCGCAACACACACAUAUUAUACACACAUAUAAUACACCACACUCUCUCCAGAUUAAUUCUCCUGAAUUAAUGGCCCGGAGCCUUCUAGCUGACUCAUGGUGUCGCCAAAUAUGGUGAGUUACUGUUGAAUUAGGCCAGGCUGCCACUCUGUCACAAACAAUGAUCCACUUAGUCCAUCCUAAUGUCCACCACUUGUCAUCACAGACACCACCCCGCUCAUCGCCGUGGGUGACCCUCCGUACUGUCCAUGAAUACAAACGAGGGACAGAUGUCUCUUAUACCGCAGACAGCUGCAUCUCGAUGUGUUUGCUUAGCCAGUGAAUCUUGGGAAAAAGGGGAGAAAAUCAAUGAUUUGCCAUCGAUAAAAUCUUGAUUGAUUCUUGAUUCUGCUUUUGGUUUUUAAAACGAUCGGCAACCUCAUUGAGGUAGUUUUUUUCUCGUCCCCAAUAGAAGCUGAGAAAAAUAUAUAUAGGCAAUUCGCCUUGAGUGAGUUUGUGAAACAAUGACCCAGACAGAGAAUUUCUUCCAUUCUUUCAUGCCUGGGCUAACGCAUACUCACAGUCCAGCAGUCCAAUCAAAUUGGAUCUAAUGCCAUAAUUCCUUAGCAGUCAAGGCGGGCACACAGAUGUGAAAUUCAGUAUAUGUUUUCUUCUUAGACUUAUUCAAGGAUUGAAUAGGUUUCUUUAUUUAAGUGGGGGUUGGGGAUUUGCUGUGUGUUUAAGUGUGCAUGUCAUUGUAUCACAUGUGUGAGUGAGAGUGAGAGAGAGAGAGAGAGAGAGAGAGAGAGAGAGAGAGAGAGAGAGAGAGAGAACUCUCCAACAGAACGACGCUUCAACAAGGAUCCCGACGACACACUGAGCGUAAAUAUAUAUUGAUUGCAAUUGUUCCCAAAUGAGUGAGCGUUCAUGUGCAAUUGAUUAGCAUGUCAAUUGUUAAUAUUAUUGAACUCUGUGUACCUCCUCAGCUGAACAUUUUAUGACAGAAUGUUCUACAAGACACCAGCCAUGCCUGUUAGCCACUAGGGCACAUUACUCUACCAAUUCUUUGUGACGAUAAUUACUGUUUGUAUACUUUCUGUGAAUUACUUAGUUUAGUAAAUAAAUGAUUUUAAGACAAUUGAUGAAUGGAUGACUCUUAGUAAAGACUGGGUUCGUGCAGAUACAACAAUUUACGACGUUUGGAAUGACACUGGACGCGAGGUAAAAUACACCAUUUAAACCAGAAGAUAAUCGGCCUAUACUAUAAUAGAAUAUAAUAUAUAAUGUUAUAAUAUAGGAAAGUUAUAUUAGGAAAAUUAUAACUUUGUAAUCUGAAUAUUUUCCUUGGUGCCCCGAUCUCCUAGUUAAUUACAAUUAAACGAUGAAUCAGUUUGAUCGCGUGAUAAUAAUUACAGGGAGUUAAUUGAUAAACAUGUCUUCAGUUUAAUGGUACCCCAAAGACACGACAGAGUAAUGAGGAAAGAGUUUUUUUUUGGUCAUUCCUCUUUGUCUGCACACCUCAAAUGUAAUGUGGCCAUUCACAUUACAUUCGUAAAUAAUGAAGAUAUGUUCUCCCAUGAGUUUUGAGGGUACACUCUGUCCAUUUAUAUAGUAGCUUUUGGUCACAGGCUUUAUUAAAACAAGAAUCACAUUGAUCUCUAGUACAGUACCUUGAACAUUACUUCAAAAACAUUAUCAUCACGGACACACAGCCAACAUUACCCAUAUAGGAAAGGAAAUGGUCCUGUGUAAUGAAUGUGACACAUAGCUAAGUAGGCUAUACAUGAAUUUGAAGUUUUGACAAGGACAGACAAUUUCAGAUUUAUUUUGUUUCAGCUAGUGUGUGAAUCUAUUUUAGAUUCAGAAUGUUGCUGUGCAGACAGAGUUGAAUUCCUCAUCGUUACUACCCUGUUUAUCAUGUAAAGCACAAUACAAAGUGACAGCAAGUCGGGACAAAGAACAUAGAUUAAAUCAGAAAUAUUUGCACAACUAAUUACCUCCAGAUGACUUUCCGGUAAACAAAAUGACAAGCUCCCGCAGUAUCACCACCAGAUAAUGGCCAAAACAUUGUCUCCCCCAACACCAUAAUGAUUUAACUCACAAACAAAUUAAUGAACAUGGUUUUAGAAACCAUUGACAAAUGAUUGAUAUUUCAGGUUGUAUUUGAAAUAGCUAGGAGGGAAAAUGAUUGUACACAGAAGAAGUGUUGUAGCCUAGCUAUCAAGCCUAGCAAUCAUUUGUUGAAAUGUGACGUGUGUAAAGUUCACAGGAGUUUCUCCUUUUAGAAAUGUUUGACAUUUUAGAAGUGCUAGUACUGCAUCUAAACACGUAUACCUACGUGAGGUAAAACAACAGUCAUUAAGUAUCUCUGAGGGCACCGACAGAGCUCGUGAUUUAUUCCUACUAAUGUUUUAUUAAUACAGACGUCUGUCUGAGGGGGAAACUUUGCCUUUUCUCACCACCACACUUCCAUUUGAAGAUAUCAAUCAUUCUAACUCGCUCGCAAAUGACACCUCAUCAAGCCUGACGGACUACAAGCUCCUACCAGCUUCUAGGCUGAACUUUAGUCUGAAAGUGAAAUUCAGAUCAGAAACUGCUGAUGGAAAGUGAAAGGCAGAACAGUUAUAGUGUUUAAGGACAUGUAAC
RNAcentral lists this long non-coding RNA (3158 nucleotides) under Salmo salar (Atlantic salmon). Its description in RNAcentral is "lncRNA (ENSSSAG00000110976.1)". Lineage: Eukaryota; Metazoa; Chordata; Actinopteri; Salmoniformes; Salmonidae. The record is from RNAcentral.